Molecule: ribosomal RNA, 120 nt
Filed under: Petromyzon marinus (sea lamprey)
Lineage: Eukaryota; Metazoa; Chordata; Hyperoartia; Petromyzontiformes; Petromyzontidae
Source: RNAcentral
GACGGUGCCAAAAUCAUCUUGAACGUGCCCAACUUCAGCAGAUUCCAGAAGCUAAACAGGGUUGAGCCUGGUUAGUACUUGGAUGAGAGACUACCUUGUUUAGCCAGGUGAGUACUUGGA